Molecule: ribosomal RNA, 116 nt
Filed under: bacterium E08(2017)
Lineage: Bacteria
Source: RNAcentral
CCCGGUGAUAAUAGCGAGGAGGUAACACCCGUUCCCAUUCCGAACACGGAAGUUAAGGUCCUCAGCGGCGAUGGUACUAUGGCGCUCGGUCAUGGGAGAGUAGCUCGUUGCCGGGU